This 75-nucleotide transfer RNA is filed under the name Methanobacteriota archaeon. Its description in RNAcentral is "Euryarchaeota archaeon tRNA-Arg". It matches the Rfam family "tRNA". From Rfam's summary of the family: Transfer RNA (tRNA) molecules are approximately 80 nucleotides in length. Lineage: Archaea; Methanobacteriati; Methanobacteriota. The record is from RNAcentral.
GCUCGGGUAGCCUAGCACGGACAAGGCAGCAGAUUUCUAAUCUGCAGAUCGUGGGUUCGAAUCCCACCCCGAGCG